CUCCUACGGGAGGCAGCAGUGGGGAAUAUUGCACAAUGGGGGAAACCCUGAUGCAGCGACGCCGCGUGGAGGAAGAAGGUCUUCGGAUUGUAAACUCCUGUUGUUGAGGAAGAUAAUGACGGUACUCAACAAGGAAGUGACGGCUAACUACGUGCCAGCAGCCGCGGUAAAACGUAGGUCACAAGCGUUGUCCGGAAUUACUGGGUGUAAAGGGAGCGCAGGCGGGAGAACAAGUUGGAAGUGAAAUCCAUGGGCUCAACCCAUGAACUGCUUUCAAAACUGUUUUUCUUGAGUAGUGCAGAGGUAGGCGGAAUUCCCGGUGUAGCGGUGGAAUGCGUAGAUAUCGGGAGGAACACCAGUGGCGAAGGCGGCCUACUGGGCACCAACUGACGCUGAGGCUCGAAAGUGUGGGUAGCAAACAGGAUUAGAUACCCUGGUAGUCCACACCGUAAACGAUGAUUACUAGGUGUUGGAGGAUUGACCCCUUCAGUGCCGCAGUUAACACAAUAAGUAAUCCACCUGGGGAGUACGACCGCAAGGUUGAAACUCAAAGGAAUUGACGGGGGCCCGCACAAGCAGUGGAGUAUGUGGUUUAAUUCGACGCAACGCGAAGAACCUUACCAAGUCUUGACAUCCCUUGACGAUGCUGGAAACAGUAUUUCUCUUCGGAGCAAGGAGACAGGUGGUGCAUGGUUGUCGUCAGCUCGUGUCGUGAGAUGUUGGGUUAAGUCCCGCAACGAGCGCAACCCUUAUGGUCAGUUACUACGCAAGAGGACUCUGGCCAGACUGCCGUUGACAAAACGGAGGAAGGUGGGGAUGACGUCAAAUCAUCAUGCCCUUUAUGACUUGGGCUACACACGUACUACAAUGGCGUUAAACAAAGAGAAGCAAGACCGCGAGGUGGAGCAAAACUCAGAAACAACGUCCCAGUUCGGACUGCAGGCUGCAACUCGCCUGCACGAAGUCGGAAUUGCUAGUAAUCGUGGAUCAGCAUGCCACGGUGAAUACGUUCCCGGGCCUUGUACACACCGC
RNAcentral lists this ribosomal RNA (1032 nucleotides) under uncultured bacterium. RNAcentral describes it as "bacterial SSU rRNA". It matches the Rfam family "Bacterial small subunit ribosomal RNA", at positions 336 to 1393 of the family's 1533-position model. The record is from RNAcentral.